Callithrix jacchus (white-tufted-ear marmoset) is the source of this 593-nucleotide long non-coding RNA. RefSeq lists it as uncharacterized. NCBI's taxonomy places the organism in Eukaryota, Metazoa, Chordata, Mammalia, Primates, Cebidae. The record is from RefSeq and is a predicted model, not a curated record.
GUGAAAAGCAUGCUGAAGUGGAUGGCUGUUGAAAAACUGCAACUGGAAGGGAUAAGAAUUGGGAGUUUAAACUGUCGCUGCCAAAGCACGCUUCCAGUCCCCAGGAUUACUGGGUAGAAAACCACACGUGCUUACUAUCUUGGCUUGAGAUCACGUCAAAGAGAGUUCAGGGAUGGAAAAGUAUCUAAAACCAGGCAAAAGUCAAUGAAGCUUUUCUCCCCCUUGAAAAGCCGUUAUGGAAAGGUUUUACACACAUUAUAAUGCAUCACAUCUGGAGUGACAUGGGGAGAGAAAACUAUGUGAGCUCAUCAGCUACUGACUGUCUUGACCUCAAACAUUUUCCGUUGCUACCUACUUUCCUCGAGAGUGGAUCUAUUCAGAAAAACCAAGGCUGGCUGGAUGGAGGAUUAGAGGCUGCUUCCUCUUUCAUGCCACUAAGGUCUGAACCAGCUGAGUGUCCCUUUGAUAUCACUGUAAUCCAUCUUAUUUAAGGUGGAGCAUUUGAUUUCUUCACCACCAGGCCUCCCUUCCACUUCAGGAAAUAAUCCUCUUUCAAUCUCCUGCUCAUUGAAAUAAAAAUACCAUCUCAUAUU